UCUCGAUUGGUCUAGUGGUCAGGAUACCUGCUUGUCAUUCUACGUAUGUUGCAAUUCACUUGAUCUAGUGAUUGUCUUACUAUAUAGAACAAGCCGCAGGUGGCCGGGGUUCGAUUCCCCGAUCGAGAG
This is a non-coding RNA of Xylaria telfairii, 129 nucleotides long. The record is from the annotation of a GenBank genome assembly. NCBI's taxonomy places the organism in Eukaryota, Fungi, Ascomycota, Sordariomycetes, Xylariales, Xylariaceae.